UACGUAGGGGGCAAGCGUUGUCCGGAAUCAUUGGGCGUAAAGAGCGUGUAGGCGGCUCGAUAAGUCUGCUGUGAAAGUCCAGGGCUCAACCCUGGAAGGCCGGUGGAAACUGUCGGGCUAGAGUCCGGAAGAGGCGAGUGGAAUUCCCGGUGUAGCGGUGAAAUGCGUAGAUAUCUGGAGGAACACCGGUGGCGAAGGCGGCAUCCUGGACCAUGACUGACGCUGAGGAGCGAAAGCCAGGGGAGCAAACGGG
Molecule: ribosomal RNA, 253 nt
Filed under: uncultured bacterium
Lineage: Bacteria
Description: partial 16S ribosomal RNA
Rfam family: Bacterial small subunit ribosomal RNA
Source: RNAcentral